Long non-coding RNA from Callithrix jacchus (white-tufted-ear marmoset), 4788 nucleotides. The record is from Ensembl. Lineage: Eukaryota; Metazoa; Chordata; Mammalia; Primates; Cebidae.
AUGAUUGUUGGCCUCAUAUAUGUCUUCUUUCAUAAAGUGUCUGUUCAUACCCUUUGCCCAAUUUUGAAUGGGCUUGUUUGUUUUUUCCCUGUAAAUCUGUUUGAGUUCUUUGUAAAUUCUGGAUAUCAGCCCUUUGUCAGAUGGGUAAACUGCAAACAUUUUACCCAUUCUGUUGGUUGCCGAUUCACUCUAGUGACUGUUUCUUUUGCAGUGCAGAAAGCUGUGGAGUUUCAUUAGGUCCCAUUUAUCUAUUUUGGCUUUUGUUGCCAAUGCUUUUGUUGUUUUGUUCAUGAAGUCCUUGCCUACUCCUAUGUCCUGGAUAGUUUUGCCUAAAUUUCCUUCUAGGGUUUUUAUGGUGCCAGGUCUUAUGUUUAAGUCUUUAAUCCAUCUGGAGUUAAUUUUAGUGUAAGGUGUCAGGAAGGGGUCCAGUUUCUGCUUUCUGCACAUGGUUAGCCAGUUUUCCCAACACCACUUGUUAAACAUGGAAUCCUUUCCCCAUUGCUUGUUUUUGUCUGGUUUGUCAAAGAUUGUAUAGUUGUAUGUAUGUUGUGUUGCCUCCGGUGCCUCUGUUUUGUUCCAUUGGUCUAUAUCUCUGUUUUGGUACCAGUACCAUGAUGUUUUGAUUACUGUAGCCUUGUAGUAUAGUUUGAAAUCCGGUAGUGUGAUGCUUCCCGCUGUGUUCUUUUUGCUUAGAAUUGACUUGGCUAUGCGGGCUCUCUUUUGGUUCUAUAUGAAGUUCAUGGUGGUUUUUUCCAGUUCUGUGAAGAAAGUCAAUGGUAGCUUGAUGGGGAUAGCGUUGAUUCUGUAAAUUACUUUGGGCAGUAUAGCCAUUUUCACGAUGUUAAUUCUUCCUAACCAUGAACAUGGAAUGUUUCUCCAUCUGUUUGUGUCCUCUCUGAUUUCAUUGAGCAGUGGUUUGUAGUUCUCCUUGAAGAGGUCCCUUACGUUCCUUGUGAGUUGUAUUCCAAGGUAUUUUAUUCUUUUUGUAGCAAUUGCGAAUGGCAGUUUGCUCUUGAUUUGGCUUUCUUUAAGUCUGUUAUUGGUGUAGACGAAUGCUUGUGAUUUUUGCACAUUGAUUUUAUAUCCUGAGACUUUGCUGAAGUUGCUUAUCAGUUUCAGGAGUUUUUGGCUGAGGCGAUGGGGUCUUCUAGGUAUACUAUCAUGUCGUCUGCAAAUAGAGACAAUUUGGCUUCCACUUUUCCUAUUUGAAUACCCUUUAUUUCUUUUUCUUGCCUGAUUGCUCUGGCUAGAACUUCCAGUACUAUAUUGAAUAGGAGUGGUGAGAGAGGGCAUCCUUGUCUAGUGCCAGAUUUUAAAGGAAAUGCUUCCAGUUUUUGCCCAUUCAGUAUGAUAUUGGCUGUUGGUUUGUCAUAAAUAGCUUUUAUUACUUUGAGAUACAUUCCAUCGAUACCGAGUUUAUUGAGGGUUUUUAGCAUAAAGGGCUGUUGAAUUUUGUCAAAUGCCUUCUCUGCGUCAAUUGAGAUAAUCAUGUGGUUUUUGUUUUUGGUUCUGUUUAUGUGGUGAAUUACGUUGAUAGACUUGCGUAUGUUGAACCAGCCUUGCAUCCCCGGGAUGAAUCCUACUUGAUCGUGAUGAAUAAGUUUUUUGAUUUGCUGUUGCAAUCGGCUUGCCAAUAUUUUAUUGAAGAUUUUUGCAUCUAUGUUCAUCAUGGAUAUUGGCCUGAAGUUUUCUUUUCUCGUUGGGUCUCUGCCGGGUUUUGGUAUCAGGAUGAUGUUGGUCUCAUAAAAUGAUUUGGGAAGGAUUCCCUCUUUUUGGAUUGUUUGAAAUAGUUUUAGAAGGAAUGGUACCAGCUCCUCCUUGUGUGUCUGGUAGAAUUCGGCUGUGAACCCGUCUGGACCUGGGCUUUUUUUGUGAGGUAGGCUCUUAAUUGCUGCCUCGACUUCGGACCUUGUUAUUGGUCUAUUCAUUGUUUCAGCUUCCUCCUGGUUUAGGCUUGGGAGGACACAGGAGUCCAGGAAUUUAUCCAUUUCUUCCAGGUUUACUAGUUUAUGCGCAUAUAGUUGUUUGUAAUAUUCUCUGAUGAUGGUUUGAAUUUCUGUGUAAUCUGUGGUGAUUUCCCCUUUAUCAUUUUUUAUUGCAUCUAUUUUGUUGUUCUCUCUUUUAUUUUUAAUCAGUCUGGCUAGUGGUCUGUCUAUUUUGUUGAUCUUUUCAAAAAACCAGCUCUUGGAUUUAUUGAUUUUUUGAAGGGUUUUUCGUGUCUCAAUCUCCUUCAGCUCAGCUCUGAUUUUAGUUAUUUCUUGUCCUGUGCUGGGUUUUGAGUUUUUUUGAUCUUGCUCCUCUAGCUCUUUCAAUUUUGACGAUAGGGUGUCAAUUUUGGAUCUCUCCAUUCUCCUCAUAUGGGCACUUAUUGCUAUAUACUUUCCUCUAGAGACUGCUUUAAAUGUGUCCCAGAGGUUCUGGCACGUUGUGUCUUCGUUCUCAUUGGUUUCGAAGAACUUUUUUAUUUCUGCCUUCAUUUCGUUGUUUACCCAGUCAACAUUCAAGAGCCAGUUGUUCAGUUUCCAUGAAGCUGUGCGUUUCUGGGUCGGUUUCUGAAUUCUGAGUUCUAACUUGAUUGCACUAUGGUCUGAGAGGCUGUUAUGAUUUCAGUUGUUUUGCAUUUGUUGAGCAGUGCUUUACUUCCAAUUAUGUGGUCAAUUUUAGAGUAGGUGUGAUGUGGUGCUGCGAAGAAUGUAUAUUCUGUGGAUUUGGGGUGGAGAGUUCUGUAAAUGUCUAUCAGGAUUGCUUGCUCCAGGUAUGAGUUCAAGCCCUGGAUAUCCUUGUUGAUUUUCUGUCUGGUUGAUCUGUCUAAUAUUGACAGUGGAGUGUAAAAGUCUCCCACUAUUAUUGUGUGGGAGUUUAAGUCUCUUUGUUAGUCAUUAAAUACUUGCCUUAUUUAUCUUGGUGCUUCUGCAUUGGGCCCAUAUAUGUUUAGUUUCGUUAGCUCUUCUUGUUGUAUCGAUCCUUUUACCAUUAUGUAAUGGCCUUCUUUGUCUCUUUUGAUCUUUGUUGCUUUAAAGUCUAUUUUAUCGGAGAUGAGAAUUGCAACUCCUGUUUUUUUUUUUUUUUGCUCUCCGUUUGCUUUUUAAAUCUUCCUGCAUCCCUUUAUUUUGAGUCUUUUUGUAUCCUUGCAUAUGAGACAGGUUUCCUGAUUACAGCACACUGAUAGUUUUGGAUUUUUAUCCAAUUUGUCAGUCUGUGUCUAUUGAUUGGUGCAUUUAGUCCGUUUACAUUUAGGGUUAAUAUUAUGUGUGAAUUUGAUACUGCCAUUUUAAUGCUAAGUGGCGUUUUUGUUUUGCCUGUUAGUUGUUGUAGAUUCUUCAUUAUGUUGAUGCUCUUUAGCAUUUAGUGUGAUUUUGGAAUUGCUGGUACUGGUUGUUCCUUUCUAUGUGUAGUCCCUCUUUUAGGAGCUCUUGUAAAGCAGGCCUGGUGUUGACAAAAUCUCUGAGUACUUGCUUGUUCGCAAAGGAUUUUAUUUUUCCUUCACUUCUGAAGCUCAGUUUGUCUGGAUAUGAAAUUCUGGGUUGAAAGUUAUGUUCUUCAUGAAUGUUGAAUAUUGGCCCCCACUCUCUUCUGGCUUGUAGUGUUUCUGCCGAGAGAUCUGCUGUGAGUCUGAUGGACUCCCCUUUUUGGGUGACCCGACGUUUCUCUCUGGCUGCUUUUAGUAUAUUCUCCUUCAUUUCAACCUUGUUGAAUCUGACGAUUAUGUGCCUUGGGGUUGCUCUUCUCGUGGAAUAUCUUUGUGGUGUUCUCUGUAUUUCCUGCAUUUGAGUGUUGGCCUGUCUUGCUAGGUGGUGGAAAUUUUUCUGGAUGAUGUCCUGAAGAGUAUUUUCCAGCUUGGAUUCAUUCUCUUUGUCCCCUUCUGGUACACCUAUCAAAGGUAGGUUAGGUCUUUUCAUAUAAUCCCGCAUUUCUUGGAGACUUUGUUCAUUUUUUUUUUUGUGCUUUUUUCUCUGAUCUUGGUUUCUCGUUCUAUUUUAUUGAGUUGAUCUUUGACUUCAGAUAUUCUUUCUUCUGCUUGGUCAAUUCAGGUAUUUAAACUUGUGGAUGCUUCGCGAAGUUCUCGUAUUGUGUUUUUCAGCUCCUUUAAUUCAUUCAUAUUCCUUUCUAAGUUAUCGAUUCUCAUCAUUAUUUCCUCAAAUCUUUUUUCAUAUCUUUUUUGAAGGUUCUUAAUUUCUUUGCAUUGAUUUAAUACAUGUUCUUUUAGCUCACAAAAGUUUCUCAUUAUCCACCUUCUGAAGUCUAAUUCCAUCAUUUCGUCACAGUCAUUCUCCGUCUAGCUUUGUUCCCUUGCUGGUGAGGAGGUUUGGUCCUUUCUAGGAGGCGAGGUGUUCUGCUUUUGGGUGUUUUUCUUCUUUUUGCGCUGGUUUCUUCCCAUCUUUGUGGAUUUAUCCACUUGUCAUCUGUGUAGUUGCUGACUUUUCGAUUGGGUCUCUUAGUGGACACCCAGAUUUUUGGUGAUGAAGUAUUUCUGUUACUUGGUUUUCCUUCUAGCAGUCUAGCUUCUUCACUGUACGACUGCUGAGGUCCACUCCAGGCCCUGCUUGUCUGGGGUGCACCUAUAGCAGCUGCAGAACAGUGAGGGAUGCUACCAGUUUCUUUUCCUGGUAUCUUUGUCCCAGGAUGAUGCCUGCCAAAUGUUAGUCUUUUGGAUAUAGAGGGGUCAGGGAGCUGCUUGAGGAGACAGUCUGUACUUUAUAGAAGCUCAAUUGCUGAGCUGUCAUCUCUGUUGUUCAUUCAGGGCUGUUAGGCUGCUAUGUUUGAUUCUGCUGCAACAGAGCUCAUUAU